RNAcentral lists this ribosomal RNA (253 nucleotides) under uncultured bacterium. RNAcentral describes it as "partial 16S ribosomal RNA". It matches the Rfam family "Bacterial small subunit ribosomal RNA", at positions 524 to 776 of the family's 1533-position model. The record is from RNAcentral.
UACGUAGGGUGCAAACGUUAUUCGGAUUUAUUGGGUGUAAAGGGUGUGUAGACGGUAUAUUAAGUUUGUUGUUAAAUCCAUCGGCCUAACUGAUGGCUUGCAAUGAAAACUGGUAAACUUGAGAGUGGAAGAGAGAAGCGGAAUUCUCGGAGUAGCGGUAAAAUGCGUAGAUCUCGAGAGGAACACCGAUGGCGAAGGCAGCUUCUUGGUCCAUUUCUGACGUUGAUACACGAAAGCGUGGGGAGCAAACAGG